Molecule: long non-coding RNA, 1359 nt
Filed under: Androctonus crassicauda
Lineage: Eukaryota; Metazoa; Arthropoda; Arachnida; Scorpiones; Buthidae
Source: RNAcentral
AUACUGUAUAUAAAAUGCAAUGUUUGUCUGUCAUUCUGUUCCGUAUAGGCUCACACCAUUUAAUUUAUCAAGAUCAAACUUUGAAGAUGACUUUUCAUGACCCUGCGAGUAAUUUAGGAUAUCAAAAAUCAAACGGAAGGAUAAUCAUUGGUAAUAAUCUAAAUUACCAAUUUGCGGAGGAGCAAAUUACGGUCGUUCUUUCUAUCUGUUCCGUGUAGGUUCCCACACCGUUUGACCUAUCGAGACUAACCUUUGCAGAUUGACUUCUUAUGACCUGUAGGUAACAUAUGAAGUCACUCUGAUGAUAACUGUAAUGCGGGUAACUUUGCGGGAUUCUCAUGACCCUGCGUGUAAAAAAAUCAAAAUCGUCGCAAAAGGUGGGACACAUUUUGGUCAUUCCUGUUGUCUGUCUGUUCCACUUAGGUUCCCACACCGCUUCACCUAUCGGCACCAAACUUUGCAGGGUCAUUCCUCACAAGCAACGUAGUGUACUCUGGGUCAAAAUCGCCCCAGGGAUGGGGCAUUUUAAGGUCGUAAUUUAAAAUACGUCAUUAAAUCCUUCAGCCUAUUGUUGAAAUUCUCACAAGCAUGACGUUACCAUGAUGUAACAAUGAAUGUCGUCACACUCAUCAUCAGUGUGUGACAUCAUUAUGACGUACUGUUACAUCAAAGAGUUUGUCCAUACGAAGUAACAAUGAAUGACAUCUCAAAAUGUUAUCAGAGAGAGAGAGAUCAAUACGUCACAGCAAUGAAUUCACAAAUUUCGACGUAUAAAGUAGCGAUGAAUGAUGCCAGAAAACGUCAGAAUGUGUUGUCAUAGUUACCUAGCAAUGACGUCACUAGCUGAGUAAUAUCUUUUUAUGAUGUAAUUUUGAUAUCAUUGAUCAUUGCGGCGUAGCAUUGAGUGCCGUCAUAAAUAUUCUAACGUUCAACGUAAAAUGGAUGAUGUCCAGAACGUCAUCAGUGGGUGUCGUCACAAUAGUUCCAAUGUACGAUGUAACAAUAGAUGAUGUCACGGAUCGUCACCAGUGCUUGAUAAUAUAUGAUAUGAUAUAUAAAUCAGUGGUCUCCAAAGUGAUAGUCCGCGAGAAAAUUUCGCUGGUCCCCAGAAAAAUGUGGAAUAUACUUACUCAUUUAUUUUAUUUGUUUAUUUUAUUAUGGUUUAUUAAUAAAGCUUUCAUAAUUUGGUUACAGUUAACACUUAAAAAAUCCUAUUAGUGGUCCAUGGGAUUUAAAUUAUGAAUUUACUGGUCCAUGAGGUCAAAAAGUUUGGCGACCGCUGGUGUAAGACAUAGGAAUGCAAGCACGUUCAACUUUUGUCUAGUACGUGCUAGGCAAAGGAGCACAAAGGGUUAAAGU